RNAcentral lists this transfer RNA (76 nucleotides) under Microbacterium hominis. Its description in RNAcentral is "tRNA-Arg". It matches the Rfam family "tRNA". From Rfam's summary of the family: Transfer RNA (tRNA) molecules are approximately 80 nucleotides in length. Their secondary structure includes four short double-helical elements and three loops (D, anti-codon, and T loops). RNAcentral also lists the same sequence under 1 other name. The record is from RNAcentral. Lineage: Bacteria; Bacillati; Actinomycetota; Actinomycetes; Micrococcales; Microbacteriaceae.
GCCUUCGUAGCUCAACGGAUAGAGCACCGGAUUACGGAUCCGGGGGUUGCAGGUUCGAGUCCUGCCGGGGGCACCA